Long non-coding RNA from Oncorhynchus keta (chum salmon), 688 nucleotides. RefSeq lists it as uncharacterized. The transcript has 3 exons. The record is from RefSeq and is a predicted model, not a curated record. Lineage: Eukaryota; Metazoa; Chordata; Actinopteri; Salmoniformes; Salmonidae.
UGGGACUGACUAAGGCUGGGGAUGGGACAGGGACUGACUAAGGCUGGGACUGGGACUGACUAAGGCUGGGGAUGGGACAGGGACUGACUAAGGCUGGGAUGGGACAGGGACUGACUAAGGCUGGGGAUGGGACUGACUAAGGCUGGGGAUGGGACUGACUAAGGCUGGGGAUGGGACUGACUAAGGCUGGGGAUGGGACAGGGACUGACUAAGGCUGGGGAUGGGACUGACUAAGGCUGGGGAUGGGACAGGGACUGACUAAGGCUGGGGAUGGGAGAGGGACUGACUAAGGCUGGGGAUGAGACAGGGACUGACUAAGGCUGGGGAUGGGACAGGGACUGACUAAGGCUGGGGAUGGGACUGACUAAGGCUGGGGAUGGGACAGGGACUGACUAAGGCUGGGGAUGGGACUGGGACUGAAAGGCUGGGGAUGGGACUGACUAAGGCUGGGGAUGGGACUGACUAAGGCUGGGGAUGGGACAGGGACUGACUAAGGCUGGGGAUGGGACUGACUAAGGCUGGGGACAGGGACUGACUAAGGCUGGGGAUGGGACAGGGACUGACUAAGGCUGGGGAUGGGACAGGGACUGACUAAGGCUGGGGCUGGGACAGUGACUGACUAAGGCUGGGGCUGGGACAGGGACUGACUAAGGCUGGGGAUGGGACAGGGACUGACUAAGGCUGGGGC